This 440-nucleotide ribosomal RNA is filed under the name uncultured bacterium. Its description in RNAcentral is "partial 16S ribosomal RNA". It matches the Rfam family "Bacterial small subunit ribosomal RNA", at positions 338 to 795 of the family's 1533-position model. The record is from RNAcentral.
CCUACGGGAGACAGCAGUGGGGAAUAUUGGACAAUGGGGGGAACCCUGAUCCAGCGACGCCGCGUGAGUGAAGAAGUAUUUCGGUAUGUAAAGCUCUAUCAGCAGGGAAGAAAAUGACGGUACCUGACUAAGAAGCACCGGCUAACUACGUGCCAGCAGCCGCGGUAAUACGUAGGGGGCAAGCGUUAGCCGGAUUUACUGGGCGUAAAGGGAGCGUAGACGGUGCAGCAAGUCUGAUGUGAAAGGUCGGGGCCAAACCCCGGGACGGAAUGGGAAACUGUAGAGCUGGAGUACAGGAGAGGUAAGGGGAAUGCGGUGGGGAGCGGGGAAAUGCGUAGAUAGUAGGAGGAACACCAGUGGCGAAGGCGGGUUACUGGAUGGUAACUGACGUUGAGGCGCGAAAGCGUGGGGAGCAAACAGGAUUAGAUACCCGAGUAGUC